Molecule: ribosomal RNA, 496 nt
Filed under: uncultured bacterium
Lineage: Bacteria
Description: partial 16S ribosomal RNA
Rfam family: Bacterial small subunit ribosomal RNA
Source: RNAcentral
AUUGAACGCUGGCGGAAUGCUUUACACAUGCAAGUCGAACGGUAGAGGGGGCAACCCCUCGAGAGUGGCGAACGGGUGAGUAAUAUAUCGGAACGUGCCCAGUCGUGGGGGAUAACGUAGCGAAAGUUACGCUAAUACCGCAUACGAUCUAAGGAUGAAAGCGGGGGAUCGCAAGACCUCGCGCGAUUGGAGCGGCCGAUAUCAGAUUAGGUAGUUGGUGGGGUAAAGGCUCACCAAGCCAACGAUCUGUAGCUGGUCUGAGAGGACGAGCAGGCAGACUGGAAAUGAGACACGGUCCAGACUGCGAGAGGAGGCAGCAGUGGGAAAUUUUGGACAAUGGACGCAAGUCUGAUACAGCCCUUCAGCUGGCAGGAUGAAGGCCCUCGGGUUGUAAACUGCUUUUGUACGGAACGAAAAGGUCUCUCUUAAUACGGGGGGCUCAUGACGGUACCGUAAGAAUAAGCACCGGCUAACUACGUGCCAGCCGCCGCAGUAA